UCCCCUCCCAACCAACUGAUUCAAAUCGCCCCCGAUGCUAUGCGUAUAGUGUGUGUCGGUGUGAGAGCGGAGCGAGAGAACCAGAGAUUUGAUAGUGCCCAGUCGUGUGGGAGGAUUCAAGCCGAGAGACAGGUACCCAGGUCGGGCAAAAGCAGCGGGGGACGCCACGAGGAUCGAGGCUACAUUAGAUCAACGGACGAAGUGUAAAGAUUGAAGUCUGGUCACGCACAACACGUCCCAUCUUCUCCUCUCCUCCUUUUCCCAAGUCCGUUCCUUUAAACAAUCACCAUCAUGGCUUCCAAACUAAACCCGAAUGUCUUGUACGUCCAAGAACUGCGGGAGUCGACGUCUUCACAGGAAUCUGACCGCCUAGCACCGCCCGAACCCGGGGAAGAGAGCUCGGACAGCGAUGGAGAGACGGACGAGACGGAGCAGAAGCUGAUCCGGAAAGUGUCCACCUCAGGACAGUUACGUGCCAAGAAAAGUGUAAAGGAAGGGAUCCUAUUGAAACAGACCAGUUCUUUCCAGAGAUGGAAGAGGAGAUACUUCAAACUGAGAGGCCGGACACUUUACUAUGCCAAAGACUCCAAGUCUCUGAUAUUUGACGAGGUGGACCUAUCAGACGCCAGCGUGGCCGAGACCAGUACCAAGAACAUCAACAACAGCUUCACGGUGAUCACUCCAUUCAGGAAGUUGAUGCUGUGUGCUGAGAGCAGGAAGGAGAUGGAGGAUUGGAUCGGUGCUCUGAAGUCUGUACAGAAAUGGGAAACGUAUGAGGCCAGUCUAUUCAAUAUGGAACAUUUUUCUGGGAUGCAUAACUGGUACGCCUGCUCCCACGCCAGACCCACCUUCUGUAAUGUGUGUAGAGAGGCCCUCUCCGGAGUCACUUCCCAUGGACUGUCCUGCGAAGUGUGUAAAUUCAAAGCCCAUAAGCGAUGUGCGGUGCGCUCCACCAACACCUGUAAAUGGACCACGCUGGCCUCCAUAGGAAAUGACAUCAUGGAGGACGACGAAGGGGUCUCCAUGCCUCAUCAGUGGUUAGAAGGGAACCUACCGGUCAGUGCGAAGUGUGUGGUGUGUGACAAGAACUGUGGCAGUGUCAGGAGACUGCAGGACUGGAGAUGUCUAUGGUGCAAGGCUAUUGUGCACAGCAGCUGUAAGGAGCAGAUGGGAAAGGCGUGUCCUCUGGGUCAAUGUCGGGUGUCAAUCAUCCCUCCCACAACCCUCAAUAGUAUCGACUCUGACGGCUUUUGGAAGGCCACCUCUCCCUCCUGCACCUCCCCUCUCCUGGUGCUGUGUAACUCUAAGAGCGGAGACAACCAAGGGGUUAAGUUUCUAAGGAAAUUCAAACAGCUGCUCAACCCUGCACAGGUCUUUGACUUGAUGAACGGAGGACCACAGCUGGGUCUGCGUGUGUUCCAGAAGUUCGCUACGUUUCGUAUCUUGGUGUGUGGCGGGGACGGUAGUGUUGGCUGGGUCCUGUCUGAACUGGAUAAACUCAACCUGCACAAACAAUGUCAGCUAGGGGUCCUCCCUCUGGGUACAGGUAAUGACCUAGCCAGGGUGCUGGGAUGGGGAGGACUAUGUGAUGAUGAUGCUCAACUGCUACAGAUCCUGGAGAAGCUGGAGAGAGCCACCACCAAGAUGCUUGACAGGUGGAGUGUGAUGACAUACGAGCUGCCUACCAAACACUAUCCCAUGGUGAAGGAAGACGAUUUUAGUCCCGACUCCCCCUUGCAGGUUCACAUCACUCAGUAUGCAGACUCUGUGGCCUCCCACCUCACCAAGAUCCUGGACUCUGACAAACAUACGGACGUCAUAUCCUCUGCCAAGUUUUUGUGUGGAACGGUAAAUGAUUUUGUAGCGGAGGUGGGGAGAGCAUACGAGAGAGCUACAGAGAACAAGGAGGAGGCAGACGCUAUGGCCAAGAAGUGUGCCCUGUUGAAUGAGAAACUGGACAGUCUGGUGAAGGCUCUGAGUGAGGAGGCUGAUGCCCAGGUGGUCCCAGCCGGCAGUGUGCCACCCCAGGAUGGGGACCAGGAGAGGGGUACAGACACUACCGGAGGGGAACCCCGGCCCCCAUACAGGUCCAGAGAACAGCUGAUGCUGAGAGCUAACAGUCUGAAGAAAGCACUGAGACAGAUAAUAGAACAGGCUGAGAAAGUGGUGGAUGAACAGAAUAAACACACUCAUCUCCAGCGCAUGUCUUCCUCCUCCUCCAUCAAGAGAGAGAACAGUGAGGAACUGAAAGAGGCAGAGCCACCCAUUAUGCCUCUCUCAGGUCACGUCAGUUUAAGCCCCUCUUCCUCCUCCUCCACUAUUGUCCUGGAGAAACCAGAGAGUCUCAGCCCUCCGUCUUUCAACGAAGAUCAGUGCUCAGAGAAGUGUGUAAUGAACAACUACUUUGGGAUCGGUCUGGAUGCUAAGAUCUCCCUGGAGUUCAACAACAAGAGAGAUGAACAUCCCAAGAAAUGCAGUAGUCGUACUAAGAACAAGUUGUGGUAUGGAGUGAUGGGCACCAAGGAACUGGUACAUAAGACAUACAAGAAUCUGGAACAACGAGUACUGUUGGAAUGUGAUGGUGUACCUAUGUGUCUGCCUAGUCUUCAGGGUCUAGCUGUUCUCAACAUCCCGAGCUAUGCGGGGGGAAUCAACUUCUGGGGGGGAACCAAAGAGGACAACAAUUUUGGCGCUCCGUCGUUUGAUGAUAAGAAGUUAGAGGUGGUGGCUGUGUUUGGCAGUAUGCAGAUGGCUGUAUCCAGAGUCAUCAACAUCCAACACCACCGCAUAGCACAGUGUCGUCAGGUGAAGAUAACUAUCCUAGGGGAGGAGGGUGUACCAGUACAGGUGGAUGGAGAAGCAUGGAUCCAACCUCCAGGGAUAGUCAAGAUCACACACAAGAACAGAGCUCAGAUGCUCACCAGAGACAGGAACUUUGAGAGGACUCUAACAUCAUGGGAGGAUAAGAGGAAGAUUGACACCUACCGUUCCUCCAGGCCCCGCCUCAACUCUCAGCAGUCUAUGGAAUACCUCACAGAGGAGGAAUGUGCUCAAGUACAGCAACUGGGGAUGGUGGCAGACACACUCAUCACUAGGAUAAGAGAGGCAGCUAAGACCCACAAACUGGUAGAACAGGAGUUAGCCCAUGCUGUCAAUGCUAGUGCCAUGGUCCUCACUGAAGCAUUCCCCUUCAAACCAUCCAGCCCUGAGUGUCUGAGUCGCAGUACAGCAGUGGAGAUUGUGAACAGCAGUAAAGUCCUUCAGCUGGAGACCAGGAUGCUGCUGGAGGGAAAACUACUGCUGGACUCUCCCCAGGAAGAGGACCUUCUCUCUACUCUCAACUCUCUGAGUGCUGAACUCCACAAGCUAGAUGAUAUACACUGGAUCUGCCCUGCCAUGCACUGCUCAGAGGAAGUGGAUGACUCUGUGAGAGUGAGUGGCAAGAGUAGUAUGAAGCUAAAGAUGAUGCCCAAGGUGAGGAAGGAGAGAGAGAAGCUCCACAAGCAGAUGUCCAACAGCUCUCUGUCAGGACAAUGACCCAACACACCUCCAGGCUGUGUAAGGGCUAUUUGACCAAGAAGCAGAGUGAUGGAGUGCUGCAUCAGAUGACCUGGCCUCCACAAUCACCCGAUCUCAACCCAAUUGAGAUGGUUUGGGAUGAGUUGGAUUGCAGAGUGAAGGAAAAGCAGCCAACAAGUGCUUAGCAUACAUGAUCUUGGGAUAUUAAAGGUGGGGCAUGUGAGACGGAUCCUUCAGGCAAUUGAGGAACUUAACGAGGAGGCUUAAGAAGACAGCUGUCACUAUGGCAACCGGAGGGGGGAUAAAUUAUUCAACAAUUCAAUGACCCUCCCCAUUCAGCUAUCACCUCCCCCUUGAUUCAAUGUUCUCCAUUUUGUAAUCAGGGAGGAGUUGUUUUUAACGAGGGGGCGUAACUGCAUUGCAUCACCGUUUGUGGUGUGCUGUUUGACCUGCUGACCAGGGAUGUGGGCGUGUUCUUCUUGAUAGUCAAAGUGGCCAAUCAGAGAUGAGGAAAGAGUUUCUAAGCAUAUUUUGUUUCAUUGACAACGCAAUGUGUUUACAUAGGCGGUGCUGUCCUUUGCAUGACGGGAGUGGACAUUUUGUUUUUAUUCUUAGAUAUAUCCUCUUUUUGGGGUUUAGGCUAGCCUUCCUCUUUUCGCUCUUGACUUUUGGGACUUUUUAGUUUCCUUGAAAUCUGAAGUUUGAGGACAUCUUUGUUGGAGGACAUCAACAAUAACGAAAAACACCUCAACUUAUUAUCACCUGAGGAACUGGAGACAUAAAAAUGUGAAAAAGUUAUUAUUGAAGGUUCAUAUUGAGGAAUGUAAUACAUGUGGACAGAAUAUGGUACUAAUAUAUUGGCCUUGCUAAAGUACUUACCAUAAUAUCUGUAAUAUAUGUACUGUAGCAUCUUAUGUCCAGCUACUACAGUGCUCACUGUAAUAUCUACGGCUAGCUACUACAGUACUUACUGUAACAUCUAAACCACGAUGACCUCAAUGUGUCCCUGCAUGCCUUCCAAGUUGGAUGAAGUAGCCCAUUGACACUGAUCUAAGAUCCGUCUAAAGUUUGCAUUAGCCCUCCUUAUGGUUAUGCUUAGGUUUGGAGGGAAAGUUGAUCCUACGUCUGUGGUUAGGGAUAUACUUAUACCAUCCCUUACCCCUAUGCUGGAAUAGAAAUGCAGUGAGAUUUAUUUUCUUUUUUCCAUUGGAGAAAUUGAGUAACAUUUUAUUUUGAAGGUCUGGUUAUAAACAGCUUAUAAACUGUUAAGAUAGUUCAUGUAUAGUUUAACUGUUAGUUAACCACUAAAUCGUUCUAUAUAUUUUAUUCAUGUAUUUAUGAAUAGUAGUAGUUUCGGAUGAAAAUAAUAUAUAUUACAAAGACCAGUAUGCCGAGUCAUAUAUAGUUAAACCAUGAACAAGAGAUAUAAGUUAAGUUGUAUCAUUAAGUUAUAAUAACAUGUAUUUAAUUCAUUCAAUGCAGAACAAGCUAUGUAUUAGUCAUUUAAUAGUUAAUGGUGUUUAUUAAUCAGCUUAUUAUCAGCCUUCCAGAUAAAGUGUUAGCUAUGAUUGUCCUACUGUACCAAUAGCGUGCUUGUCCUGCUGUUAUUGCUAGAGGCUUUAGUGAUGUACCUGUACACGUGUGCCAAGUUUUAAACGACAUAUGACGAUUGUGUGUGUGUGUGUGUGUGCAAACGACACUGUGUGCGUGUCAUUCAUUUCAAAGUUUACUGUACCUUGCCUUGCACUUUACAGAGAGAAACUCAAAAGAAAAAAUGUGUGUGCGAGCGACAUGUGCGUGUAUGUUGUAAAAGUGAUCGUUCACUUGUGUUUUUAUUGCUAUGGAAACGGUCGCUCUCCCUUGUAUUUAUGACACAUCUAUACAGAGAUCAGUGUGUGUUAAUAUGUAACAUAUAAAUAUAACCAACACGAAUGUUAAAGUAUAUUAUAUAUACAUAAUAGAUAUUAAAUGUUUAUUCACUUGUCAGGGGUUGUUCUACUGUACAUGCUCUCAGGGUGGCAAAAUUCCAGUAAUUUCUUCUAAAUUACCAGGUUUCAAGAAAUCCCGUUGGAACAUUUCCGGAUUUUCAGAAGUGAAUACGCAGGAAACCCAGGAAUUUUGGGAAAGUUAAUAGAAUUUUUCAACCCUAAUGUUCUCACUUUACACAUCCUAAUCUCAUGGAAGACUGGAUUCUGAAAAAUGUUGCGACACCGUUACUCCAACGCUAUGCCAACGAUUCCUUAGCGGCUGUUGUGUCUACGGCACGAGGCUAGGAUAUCAGUAUUGAAAUCUUGUGUGACAUAACAUAUAUAGUGGUCAAUCGCCAAGGUACUGAGAGGUAUGGAGAACAAUGCAACAACGACUUAACGAUCAAGUCUAGAGGAAAAGUCUUGGAAACGUUUUGUUGGACAACAUGUAUGUAACAUGUAAUAUGCCACGGUUAUGUAACAGUAUUUGACGGCAAGUUUUUGUGAACGCACGCCUACAGACCGCACUGGCUGGACUCUGCUGUGCAAUGCGCAAAGCUGGACUCGAUGUUGCACGUUGUUUGUUCAAAGAUGUUUAAUAAUGAUAAUCUUGUGCUGUUAAUUCGUUGUACUGGUUGAUCUCUGCAACCAGGCUGGAAGGUCAGCCUUUGGGCCUAAAAAGUAUUCCUUGAAGUCCUAAGUGUCAAGAUGUUGUAUAUUAUACUAUUUAAUGGUAUCAAUUGAUAAGGAGGAUGUUAUUGUGAUUCAAAUCUUGAAUGUAAUCAUGAAUUGUGAUCAAAUCUUGAAUUGUGAAUCUUUGAACUCAUCAUGUAUUGAACUUGAUUUGAGUGUUCCCAAAUAGAUUAUGCUCCAUCUCAGAGCCAAACUGUUAUUUUGACAGUUUUACUCGACAUAAAUGUUAGUUGCCAAUAAGACAGGAAUCAUGCAGGCUAUGAUUUUACUGUUUUACUGCAUAUGAUUGAUUAUCAUCAGUGAAUUUAGGCCGGAUUACAAUCAAAGGCCCCGUUGUCGAAAAGCAUACUGCACUUGACUUUUAAAGGUCAUUUACGCUUCAGCCAAUAUUAAGCGUGCUGCGCCCUUCGCGACAGCAGGCCUUUGAUUGAAUUCAGGCCCAAGCCUAUUUAUUUGUGCUAUCCAAUUGCCAAUCAUCCAUGUCCCAGAACCCAGAGAGAGAGACAGCAUUCACUGGCUGCUAGCAGGAGGCUGAAAUAAAGUGUAUCCAUUGCUGUUGGA
RNA transcript from Oncorhynchus nerka (sockeye salmon), 6740 nucleotides. It is a transcript of the gene named diacylglycerol kinase delta, with no coding region annotated. The record is from RefSeq and is a predicted model, not a curated record. The transcript is spliced from 31 exons. NCBI's taxonomy places the organism in Eukaryota, Metazoa, Chordata, Actinopteri, Salmoniformes, Salmonidae.